UGAUAAGCCAGAAGUUAAAAUAGCAUGUUUAAUUCAAUCCUCACUACAACUAGGCAGAUAAGGAAGAGAUGGCUUGAAAGUAUGGCAUCACUUUGGUAUUUAGUGCAGUGAUGGGAUUGUCAUCACACUCAAUGUUUUGUAGCUGUUCCUGGUGCCUAGGGGAUAUUUAGCGAAGGCAAGGGAAAGGGAAGAUUUCAAGCAACAGACGGAUGGGAAGCCUUGAAAAUUUCGCCAAACCCGCCAGGUCAGAGUGGGGCAGCACAGCCUUCAAGUCCUCAUCUGUAAAAGGAAAAAGAACAGGAGAACUCCUGGAAGGUCCAUACCAGACGCUGCAGACACUUGCUCAGUUGCCUGCGGAUGGAUUUGCUCUGGCUGCGGGUAAGGCACCAGGCUAAAUGCUUUACCCGGGACUCCUUCUUUGCUCGUCACCACCAUUUUGCAAGGGAGCAGCUGUUCGCCCCAUAUUACUGAUAAGAGACCAAGAUGAGUUAAGAAACUUGAUCAAGAUCACACCGUUAUGCGUCUAAGUGGCAGUAAGAACUUGUUUCACAGGAUGUCUCAGAUAGAUGCUAAUAAAGCCUUUUGGAUACAUAAAGGAAUAAAUUAUGGUUAAUCUCUACUUCAAAAUGAAAAAGAACUGAAAGGAAAUGGAAAGAAAGAAAAUUUUAACUACAGAAUUAAAUAAAUGAAAAGAAUUUCCU
RNAcentral lists this long non-coding RNA (701 nucleotides) under Equus caballus (horse). Its description in RNAcentral is "lncRNA (ENSECAG00000049123.1)". Lineage: Eukaryota; Metazoa; Chordata; Mammalia; Perissodactyla; Equidae. The record is from RNAcentral.